UCAGUUAGUCCUGACGAAGGGUCUCGGCCCGAAACGUUGACACUGCUUCUCCCUAUAGAUGCUGUCUGGCCUGCUGUGUUCCACCAGCAUUUUGUGUGUGUUGUUGUUUGAAUUUCCAACAUCUGCAGAUUUCCUCCUGUUUGCCUUUUAAGUUCUGUUUUCAACACAUGUUCGGCUGCUUAAGUCUCGCCCCUCUCGCUCCAAGUCCUGAUUCCUGAAAAGUGAAAUUCGUCAGAAAAAGUCCCGGGAACGAUUAAAAACACGAAAUGCCGGCAGAACUCAGCAGGCCAGACAGCACCUACGGGAGGAGGUAGCAUCCUGGUGAAUCUCCUCUGCACCCUCUCUAAUCCAGGUAGCAUCCUGGUGAAUCUCCUCUGCACCCUCUCUAAUCCAGGCAGCAUCCUGGUGAAUCUCUGCACCCUCUCUCAUCCGGGCAGCAUCCUAUUGAAUCUCCUCUGCACCCUCUCUAAUCCAGGCAGCAUCCUGGUGUGGUUCAGGUGCCAAGCUGUCUUUGGCCUCCCACAUUUCCUCCACCCUUCGGGGGGUCCAACGAAGAGCUGACCUCUCUUCUCAUCACAUACGCGCCCAAUCCAUCUCUAGCGUUUCCUCGCGAUGAUGGUGGCCGUGUCCUCUCGGUGACGCUGAAGGAGCCGGGCGUGGCGGGAGAUCUUCCUCGGCCAGAAGACACGGAGGAUCUUCCGGAGGCUCCUGACGACAGCUUGGUGAUUUGUAGCCAAGUUCUCUUGGUGACCCCGUCGGGAGUUGUGAGAGCCAAGAGAAUCCAGUCUUCAUUGUUUUUUUACUUCUGAGAAAGCCGCACGCCUAUCAUGUGGUUCCCUCAUGACAUAACGCAAUUAAUAUAUUUUUACAUAUGACCUGUUUGAAAGUUAAACAAACAAGAAUGCUUAAUUGAACAAUAUAUGCGCAAUAUUACUCAAAUACUACUGAAAUAUUAAAUGCAAAACAAGGCUUCAGCCAUCUCCAAAUGCAGAGAAGGUACUUCCUUUUGGAGGCCCUGGUUAAACGGGGAAUUGAAGCAUUUGUCCUAAGAACUGAACGUGUGGGAACUCGAGCACCAGGAACGCCUCGGUUCCCUCAAGGGGCGUUGGCAUUAGGCCGGGAUUUGCAUUCAGAGGGACUGAAAAGGCAGGGCCUCGGGAGCGGAGGUGAGGACGUUUACUCUGCGCUCCUCGGCGAUGAGGCUGGGCCCCGCUCCGGCGUGACCGGGCGUAGUUCCCGCGAGUUCGGCGG
Molecule: long non-coding RNA, 1251 nt
Organism: Hypanus sabinus (Atlantic stingray)
Lineage: Eukaryota; Metazoa; Chordata; Chondrichthyes; Myliobatiformes; Dasyatidae
Exons: 3
Source: RefSeq, a predicted model, not a curated record